RNA transcript from Glycine soja, 2288 nucleotides. It is a transcript of the gene named 4-coumarate--CoA ligase-like 5, with no coding region annotated. The record is from RefSeq and is a predicted model, not a curated record. The transcript is spliced from 5 exons. NCBI's taxonomy places the organism in Eukaryota, Viridiplantae, Streptophyta, Magnoliopsida, Fabales, Fabaceae.
AGUGUAUUAUUCUUAUACGCAUGUUUUAUUUUUAAUUUCUUUAACAAAAGGGACUAAGGUUGACACCCAAAAGAAAACACAGUCAAUGAGAGGGCUGUGAAGGGAGCUCCCCACCGGCCACAGUCCACAGCACAUGUUGUACAUGUCAAAUUUAUACAGCCGCUGCUAAUUACCUCAUAUCAGAAAUUAAUCAUAAUUAAUAAUAAUCAAUAUUUCAAACUAAGAAAAAAGAGAGAGUGUGGACGGUGAAAUGGAGAUAUAUAUCCGGAAGUGUUGUUGGGAAAGUAAAAGAUAGAUAUGAUGGAGGAGAUAGACCCCAGAAGUGGUUUCUGCAGCUCCAAUUCAAUCUUCUACAGCAAGCGUAAGCCCCUCCCACUCCCUCCCAACAACGCCUUAGACGUCACCACCUUCAUCUCCUCCCGCGCCCACCGCGCCACCACAGCCUUCGUCGACGCCGCCACCGCCCGCCGCCUCACCUACACCCAGCUAUGGCGUUCCGUGGAGGGCGUGGCAGCCUCUCUCUCCGUGGACAUGGGGAUCCGAAAGGGCAACGUGGUCCUCAUCCUCUCCCCCAACUCCAUCCACUUCCCCGUUGUGUGCCUGGCCGUCAUGUCCCUCGGCGCCAUCAUCACCACCACCAACCCCCUCAACACCACCCGCGAAAUCGCCAAGCAGAUCGCCGAUUCCAAGCCUCUCCUCGCCUUCACGAUCUCUGAUUUACUCCCCAAAAUCACCGCAGCUGCACCCUCUCUACCAAUCGUUCUCAUGGACAACGACGGCGCCAAUAAUAACAAUAACAAUAAUAAUAUCGUGGCCACUCUUGAUGAGAUGGCGAAGAAGGAACCGGUGGCUCAGCGCGUGAAAGAGCGCGUGGAGCAGGACGACACGGCCACGCUGCUCUACUCCUCCGGCACCACGGGGCCCAGCAAGGGCGUGGUAUCGUCCCACCGCAACCUCAUAGCAAUGGUCCAGAUCGUGCUGGGUCGGUUCCACAUGGAGGAGAACGAAACCUUCAUAUGCACGGUCCCCAUGUUUCACAUAUACGGCCUGGUCGCCUUCGCCACGGGGCUUCUGGCUUCCGGCUCCACCAUCGUCGUGCUCUCCAAGUUCGAGAUGCACGACAUGCUCUCCUCGAUCGAGAGGUUCCGCGCCACUUACCUCCCGCUCGUGCCGCCCAUUCUGGUGGCCAUGCUCAACAACGCCGCCGCUAUCAAGGGCAAGUACGAUAUCACGUCGCUGCAUUCGGUGCUCUCCGGUGGGGCUCCGUUGAGCAAGGAGGUCAUAGAGGGCUUUGUGGCCAAGUAUCCCAACGUCACCAUCCUUCAGGGUUAUGGUUUGACGGAAUCCACCGGCGUUGGGGCCUCCACCGACUCCUUGGAGGAGAGUCGAAGGUACGGCACGGCGGGGCUCUUGUCUCCGGCCACCCAGGCUAUGAUCGUCGAUCCUGAAUCCGGCCAAUCGCUUCCGGUUAACCGCACCGGGGAGCUCUGGCUCAGGGGUCCCACCAUCAUGAAAGGUUAUUUCAGUAACGAAGAAGCAACCACAUCAACCCUUGAUUCAAAAGGAUGGUUAAGAACAGGGGAUAUUUGUUACAUUGACAAUGAUGGAUUCAUAUUUAUUGUGGAUCGGUUAAAGGAGCUCAUCAAAUACAAGGGAUAUCAGAGGAACCAAUGGGAAGAUAAUCGCAACACUAACAUACAGUUGGGAUACGAAUAUUGUGAAUCCUAUUGAAGGUCUUGAUGAUGUUUUAGGUUCCUCCAGCAGAACUAGAGGCCUUGCUACUGACUCAUCCUGCUAUUUUAGAUGCCGCUGUUAUCCCGUAUCCAGAUAAGGAAGCUGGGCAGCAUCCAAUGGCAUACGUGGUGAGGAAGGCUGGAAGUAGCUUAUCAGAAACUCAAGUUAUGGAUUUUGUUGCAGGACAGGUGGCUCCGUACAAGCGGAUUCGAAAAGUGGCAUUUAUUUCCUCCAUACCCAAAAAUCCAUCUGGCAAAAUUCUUCGGAAGGAUCUCAUCAAACUCGCAACGUCUAAACUCUGAAUAGAUGAGCUUUUUCGUAAUAUAUUUUUUCUAUCGGAGUUGGACAAGUGAGGAAAUAAUCUUUAGCUCCUUUUUUGCUGUAAUUUUCUGGCUUGUUUACUUUUGCUGCUUUCAUAUUAUCUGUUCUUUGUUCAACAGUCUAUUGUAAUUUGUAGAGAACAAAGUGCUGUGAGUACACCUUAUAGGCAAUAAAAUUGUCUCUUUGUAAUUUCUUUUUUCAAUUGGAAUAACUUCUCUAUCAGUUUGUCAUCA